RNAcentral lists this ribosomal RNA (421 nucleotides) under uncultured bacterium. RNAcentral describes it as "bacterial SSU rRNA". It matches the Rfam family "Bacterial small subunit ribosomal RNA", at positions 30 to 452 of the family's 1533-position model. The record is from RNAcentral.
AUUGAACGCUGGCGGCAUGCCUUACACAUGCAAGUCGAACGGCAGCACGGGAGCAAUCCUGGUGGCGAGUGGCGAACGGGUGAGUAAUGUAUCGGAACGUGCCCAGUCGUGGGGGAUAACGCAGCGAAAGCUGUGCUAAUACCGCAUACGAUCUAUGGAUGAAAGCGGGGGGAUCGCAAGACCUCGCGCGAUUGGAGCGGCCGAUAUCAGAUUAGCUAGUUGGUGGGGUAAAGGCUCACCAAGGCGACGAUCUGUAGCUGGUCUGAGAGGACGACCAGCCACACUGGAACUGAGACACGGUCCAGACUCCUACGGGAGGCAGCAGUGGGGAAUUUUGGGACAAUGGGCGCAAGCCUGAUCCAGCAAUGCCGCGUGCAGGAUGAAGGCCUCGGUGUAAGACUCUUGUCUAGGAGAAGUAGUG